UUAUUUACCUUUAAAUAAGUAAGAUUAAAUAAAAACAAAGGCAGGGAUGAUAUGGCACAAAGGCUCCUUCUGGGUGAUGUGUGCAUAGCACCCCUUUUUUUGUGUGCAUCAGCUUUUUAUAGCUGCUUCCUUUGGACAGCUGCAGAGGAGAGGAAAUCAGGAAAAAAUGACAAACGUUGCAUGAUAGUACCCCAGACUGAGCUUGUCCAAAGAGGUCAGAAAUAUCAGCCCUGUUCAGCAGAAGCCAUUUCUUCUUGAUUUCACAGAGGUUUAAGUUGGAGCUUUUGAUCUGCAGUGGUUCUGGCUCAACUCUUCUGCACAGCCUUUGCUGUCACCCCCGGAAAAAGAAUUCCUAAUCACAGAUGUGGUCAAACAUUUACAAAACAUCUUUAAGUGACUAGGAUAUAAACCUCCCAAGUUCUUUUAAAAUUGCUACAGGUUAAUUUAGAACCAGAUUCAACCAUACCCCUUACAUAGAAGACAAAAGGAGCCUUUCCCUCUUGCUCAAACAGUACAAGAAGCCAAACAGAAUUUCAGCACUUGCAUUCAUGGGCAUGAAAUUGCAGGGCCUUCCAUACAAUGCUGGAGUGCAGAGCAUCCAACGGGAGCUAGAGAAGGCUAAAGAGGCAGGACCAUGGCCAAAAUGCCUUAAGCCCAGCUGGCUGGUUGCACAGGCAGACAGAAAACUUCACUGGAAAGAAUGAGGCGAGGAGAUCUAAGUGAAGUGUAAAACAUACUGAGAAUUCAAUGACAUGUUGACAAAUACCACUCCACUUUUUUCCCCCCUAUCAGAACCUAACAGCAGAAGAAGAGAUUUCUAAAGUGGUGUUUUUACAGGCCAGGCUUAGCCUCUCUCUCAUCUUAUCAGCAGCCUUCAAAAGCCUCCAGAUGGAUCUCCUCCAGAAAAAAAAUCUCCACCUUUCUAUAUAAAUACAUUGGCUCUAUCAUGUAGGCUUUGUUAUAGCUUGAGAGGCUUUGGAAAAACACACCUGACUUUCAAAACUGUUCUCCACAUACUCCAACCCACAAGCUUAAGAGCAGACUUAAUG
This is a long non-coding RNA of Gavialis gangeticus (Gharial), 1049 nucleotides long. RefSeq lists it as uncharacterized. NCBI's taxonomy places the organism in Eukaryota, Metazoa, Chordata, Crocodylia, Gavialidae. The transcript has 2 exons. The record is from RefSeq and is a predicted model, not a curated record.